Molecule: long non-coding RNA, 16635 nt
Filed under: Xyrichtys novacula (pearly razorfish)
Lineage: Eukaryota; Metazoa; Chordata; Actinopteri; Labriformes; Labridae
Source: RNAcentral
AAACAAUCAAAUGCAAAAUGGCUCCAUAGCGCCCCCUAAGGUGAAAAAUUCACAUGAUUGAGUGUCACGCCUGUACGCUUUGUCAAAAUGACACAAAAUUUGACACACACGUGUAUCUCAAUAAGAUCUACAAAAAAGUCAGUGCGGGCGUAUCUGUCAAAUGUACGGUUAAAGGGCUAUUUCGCAUUUUUUGCCGAUCCGCACACAUUGGAAUUUCGCUAACUCCUCCGAAGGCUUUCGUUCCACCGGCACCAAAUUUGCUCAGGCCAAUCUACACCCCAUGGCCAUUCAAAGUUGUACAAAUCAUGACGCUGCCCCCCACGGUUUACGUUGUAGGGGGCGCCAAAGAUAACCCAAAAAUCCACAUUCUUACAAGUCUUAUAACUUUUUAUUUCUGUCCUCACUGGCCUCCAAGUUUUCUAGGAUGAUGCAAUGUCCAGCCAUCAACACAUUUGUGAAGGAAUUUUUACUCCCCAAAAGAGCGCCCCCCCAUGGCAGAAGAAAAAAGGCCAUUUUUUCUUGUCCUAUAAGGUGAAAAUACACAUUGUUGAGUGUCACGCCUGUACGCUUUGUCAUAUUGAAACAAAAUUUGAUAAUCACGUGUAUCUCAAUAAGAUCUACGAAAGAGUCAAUGCGCACGUGUCUGCAAAAUGUACGGUUAAAGGGCUAUUUCGCAUUUUUGGUUGAUUCGCACACAUUGGAAUGUGGCUAACUCCUCCUAAAGCUUUCGUUCCACCGGCACCAAAUUUGCUUAGGCCAAUCUACACCCCAUGGCCAUUCAAAGUUGUACAAAUCAUGUCGCUGCACCCCACGGUUUACCUUGUAGGGGGCGCCAAAGAUAACCCAAAAAUCCACAUUCUUACAAGUUAUAACUUUUUAUUUCUGUCCUCACUGGCCUCCAAGUUUUCUAGGAUGAUGCAAUGUCCAGCCAUCAACACAUUUGUGAAGGAAUUUUUACUCGCCAAAAGAGCGCCCCCCCAUGGCAGGAGAAAAAAGUCCAUUUUUUCUUGUCUCCUAAGGCGAAAAUUCACACUAUUGACUGUCACACCUUUACGCUUUGUCAAAAUGACACAAAAUUUGACACACACAUGUAUCUCAAUAAGAUCUACAAAAAAGUCAGUGCGGGCGUAUCUGUCAAAUGUACGGUUAAAGGGUUAUUUCGCAUUUUUUGCCGAUCCGCACACAUUGGAAUUUCGCUAACUCCUCCGAAGGCUUUCGUUCCACCGGCACCACAUUUGCUCAGGCCAAUCUACACCCCAUGGCCAUUAAAAGUUGUACAAAUCAUGAUGCUGCACCCCACGGUUUACGUUCUAGGGGGCGCCAAAGAUAACCCAAAUAUCCACAGUCUUAAAAGUCUUAUAACUUUUUAUUUUUGUCCUCACUGGCCUCCAAGUUCUCUAGGAUGAUGCAAUGUCCAGCCAUCAACACAUUUGUGAAGGAAUUUUUACUCGCCAAAAGAGCGCCCCCCAUGGCAGGAGAAAAAAGUCCAUUUUUUCUUGUCUCCUAAGGCGAAAAUACACAUUGUUGACUGUCACGCCUUUACGCUUUGUCAAAAUGACACAAAAUUUGACACACACAUGUAUCUCAAUAAGAUCUACGAAAAAGUCAAUGCGAGCGUAUCUGUUCAAUGUACGGUUAAAGGGCUAUUUCGCAUUUUUUGCCGAUUCGCACACAUUGGAAUGUGGCUAACUCCUCCUAAAGCUUUUGUCCCAUCGGCUUCAAAUUUGCUCAGGUCAAUCUACACCCCAUGUCCAUUCAAAGUUGUACAAAUCAUGACGCUGCACCCCACGGUUUACGUUCUAGGGGGCGCCAAAGAUAACCCAAAAAUCCACAGUCUUAAAAGUCUUAUAACUUUUUAUUUUUGUCCUCACUGGCCUCCAAGUUCUCUAGGAUGAUGCAAUGUCCAGCCAUCAACACAUUUGUGAAGGAAUUUUUACUCCCCAAAAGAGCGCCCCCCCAUGGCAGGAGAAAAAGUCAAGUUUUUCCUGCCCAUCGCUCAAUGGCUCAAACGCAUCGCUCUCUCGGCAAAACCGAAAGGAGGAGCAACUUGCCAUUUGGAUAUAUACUAGCUGUGUUUGUGCCCUCACUCAUGGUCCAGACUUUUUUCAAAAAGGACAUGGAGUUUGUCUGCAGCGAGCGUUUUGGUAGAAACUGCGCCUCCCAUUCAUUAUAAUGGUAAAUGACCACAGACAAGUGCGCACACCAUCUUUGGACCUUGAGUGUGACGCAAUCGGGAGGGGUAGGCGGUCGCGCUGGGGGUGGCGCGACACGGCUCGGGCCCGCCAGUGCCCCAACGGGGCCCUAGUUCUUUGUUUCUUUUUUCUUUUUCCUCCCCUUUGACCUGGAAAAUGGCCCACUUCCCACUGGCGAAAACUCAUGAAAUUUGGCAGGACGACCGGGCCUGGUGAAAAAUUUGAUAUUCCGAAGUCGCCCAAACAAGAAAAUGCAAAAUGGCUCCAUAGCGCCCCCUAAGGUGAAAAUUCACACUAUUGACUGUCACGCCUGUACGCUUUGUCAAAAUGACACAAAAAUUGACACACACAUGUAUCUCAAUAAGAUCUACAAAAAAGUCAGUGCGGCCGUAUCUGUCAAAUGUACGGUCAAAGGGUUAUUUCGCAUUUUUUGCCGAUCCGCACACAUUGGAAUUUCGCUAACUCCUCCGAAGGCUUUCGUUCCACCGGCACCACAUUUGCUCAGGCCAAUCUACACCCCGUGGCCAUUAAAAGUUAUCAAAAUCAUGACGCUGCACCCCAAGGUUUAGGUUCUAGGGGGCGCCAAAGAUAACACUAAAAUCCACAUAUUUAAAAGUCUUAUAACUUUUUAUUUUUGUCCUCACUGGCCUCCAAGUUUUCUAGGAUGAUGCAAUGUCCAGCCAUCAACACAUUUGUGAAGGAAUUUUUACUCCCCAAAAGAGCGCCCCCCCAUGGCAGGAGAAAAAAGUCCAUUUUUUCUUGUCCCCUAAGGUGAAAAUACACAUUGUUGAGUGUCACGCCUAUACGCUUUGUCAAAAUGACACAAAAAUUGACACACAUAUGUAUCUCAAUAAGAUCUACAAAAAAGUCGAUGCGGCCGUAUCUGUCAAAUGUACGGUCAAAGGGUUAUUUCGCAUUUUUUGCCGAUCCGCACACAUUGGAAUUUCGCUAACUCCUCCGAAGGCUUUCGUUCCACCGGCACCACAUUUGCUCAGGCCAAUCUACACCCCGUGGCCAUUAAAAGUUAUCAAAAUCAUGACGCUGCACCCCAAGGUUUAGGUUCUAGGGGGCGCCAAAGGUAACACUAAAAUCCACAUAUUUAAAAGUCUUAUAACUUUUUAUUUUUGUCCUCACUGGCCUCCAAGUUUUCUAGGAUGAUGCAAUGUCCAGCCAUCAACACAUUUGUGAAGGAAUUUUUACUCCCCAAAAGAGCGCCCCCCCAUGGCAGGAGAAAAAAGUCAAUUUUUUCUUGUCCCCUAAGGUGAAAAUACACAUUGUUGAGUGUCACGCCUAUACGCUUUGUCAAAAUGACACAAAAAUUGACACACACAUGUAACUCAAUAAGAUCUACGAAAAAGUCAAUGCGCGCGUAUCUGUCAAAUGUACGGUUAAAGGGUUAUUCCGCAUUUUUUGCCGAUCCGCACACAUUGGAAUGUGGCUAACUCCUCCUAAGGCUUUCGUUCCACCGGCACCACAUUUGCUCAGGACAAUCUACACCCCAUGGCCAUUAAAAGUUAUUCAAAUCAUGACGCUGCACCCCACGGUUUAGGUUCUAGGGGGCGCCAAAGACCCUAAAAUCCACAUAUUUAAAAGUCUUAUAACUUUUUAUUUUUGUCCUCACUGGCCUCCAAGUUUUUUAGUUUUCUAGGAUGAUGCAAUGUCCAGCCAUCAACACAUUUGUGAAGGAAUUUUUACUCCCCAAAAGAGCGCCCCCCCAUGGCAGGAGAAAAAAGUCCAUUUUUUCUUGUCCCCUAAGGUGAAAAUACAUAUUGUUGAGAUUCACGCCUAUACGCUUUGUCAUAUUGACACAAAAUUUGACAAUCACGUGCCUUGCCUGGUAUCAUUUUUUCAGCACAACCUCACCUGUGCGAAUUUACAGUUAUUUUAUCAUGUUGACAUACUGAAUUUACACAAUGGACCCAAAUUCACACACAAAACAUAAAAUCCGAGUGGAAAAAAGUAACAUUUUUACUGUGAAAACCACAAAUAUGUGUGAUGAACUGUUUUUAAAACUUAAACUUCAAAUAAAAAUUGUAAACUUCAAAACAUAUGCAAAUUUUUAACAAAGAACAUAGUGAUUUACCUCUAUUUACAUCAAAAUGCAGGCAAUGGCCCAGGCGUUCUUUGUAAAAUUAUUUACAAAACACUGUAUAGUCUCACAAAUGUCACUUUUUAUUUAUGCCACUACAAAAAAACAUGAUGUAAAUGAUGCAUGAUGUAAAACAUGAUGUAAAAAACUUGUGUAGAUCCUCCUCUAUGUCAGUCCAUGUGUAAUUUUUCCAUAAUUCUUUGUUUUUUGCAGCAUUUUUGUUAGUGUAACUGCAGAUUGUGCUGACAGUGUCUAUGGCACAAAAAAAAAAAAAUUUAAAAUGCCUCAACAUGAACCCCUGGUGGUCUCUGAGGGUGAAACCUGCUAACGGCUGCAGCUCUGUCAGCUUCAGUCUCCCAUGCAGAGCUCUGAGCGCAUGUGUGGCUCUGCACCCUUAGCAGCGUUGCUAACUCCUCAGUAAGGAAAGCCUGCUUCAUGUCAGAGUCUCUAAACUCCAGAAGAAGUCGAUAAAAGUCCCUUUCUUUCUAAAAAAAAGUCGUUAGGGGGUCUGAAAAGUCAUUGAAUCUAACAACAAAGUCGCUAGGUUUGCAACUACGUGUCCCAGACUGCAUCCCUGCUGAGAGUCCCUCCCUCCCUUCUCAUGUUGCAGGAAGAACGUAAGCGCCCGCCCCUUGUCAAUCAGUCACCAUAUAAUUUUGGAUUGGUUGUUGUGGUGAAGUUUUCCACCAAUAGGAGAGAUGUUGUGGUGUGUUUUUUUUUUCUUUUGGCAAGCCUUUUCCGCCUGUAAGACCUGUCGCUAAUGUCUGCAUGCUAUGUUUUCCUGUCUCAUACAGCGCGAUCGAGCGCCGAACGUGAUCAAAAUAAGCAGAAAAAAAGUAUCGCGGACAUAAUUUAUCAUAACUCUGGUUUUAUUUGGCCUAUCAACACAAUUUAAAAACUGGUAUAUAGGUUGAGGUCCUCACUUUUGAGAUAAGUUGAAACGGAGAGUCAACGAGGCUCCGUCUUGCAGCUACAUCCGAUUAAAUAUGUCAUGUGACUUGAACGCACACACAGACACACACACACGCACACACACACACACACACACACACACACACACUCAGAGUCUGGUUUUUAGCACCUGCAAAAACAUGCUAUUUACAUAUUUGACAAGAAUGCAGAGGCUCCUUUUGCCCCUGAAAAAAAUCAAAUUUCAAACACAACUUGACUGGUCAUUUCUCCAAAAGACAACCAUGAAGCUCCAUCCAAACCUGAAGCAGGCAGUUGGUGCAUGUGUACAGUAACCUGAGGGGAGUGAGGUGAGUGCUUCUGAGGAGAACAUGAGCAGUGAAGAUUCACCUUGGAGCUAGAACAGAGACAUGCACAUGAUUAUACAGGGGCAGGGGCUCAAGUUUUUUCCAGUCGUUUAUACAAUAUGGAAAUUAAUGUGAAAUUAAAACACAAAGUAUUAAUAGAAAGGUAAUGACUGUCCUGUGUAGGUGACAGUGAUAUCCAAUAGGCUAGGCACUCACGAGGCUGGCUGUGGCAAGUGUAAGUGAAAGCAACACGCACUGGCAGGAAGAACAGCAAACGCCGAUGAAGGAAAAGGGUCUUUGCAGUGAUGGGCGUUACCAGAGAGGGCGAUGGCCAGAGGACACAAAUGGGACGGGGAGGCAGCAUGUUGGGGGGUGGGGGGGUGGGGGGGGGGGGGGGACGCGACACGGCUCGGGCCCGCCAGUGCCCCAACGGGGUCCUAGUUAUUAUUAUUAUUUUUCCUCCGCUUUAAACUGGAAAAUGGCCCACUUCCCACUGGCGAAAACUCAGGAAAUUUGGCAGGACGACCGGGCCUGGUGAAAAAUUCGAUAUUCUGAAGUCGCCCAAACAAUAAAAUACAAAAUGGCUCCAUAGCGCCCCCUAAGGUGAAAAUUCACACUAUUGACUGUCACGUCUGUACGCUUUGUCAUAUUGACACAAAAAUUGACACACACAUGUAUCUCAAUAAGAUCUACAAAAAAGUCAGUGCGGGCGUAUCUGUCAAAUGUACGGUUAAAGGGUUAUUUCGCAUUUUUUGCAGAUCCGCACACAUUGGAAUUUCGCUAACUCCUCCGAAGGCUUUCGGUCCACCGGCACCACAUUUGCUCAGGCCAAUCUACACUCCAUGGCCAUUCAAAGUUGUACAAAUCAUGAUGCUGCACCCCAUGGUUUAGGUUCUAGGGGGCGCCAAAAAUAACCCUAAAAUCCACAUUCUUAAAAGUUUUAUAACUUUUUAUUUUUGCCCUCACUGGCCUCCAAGUUUUCUAGGAUGAUGCAAUGUCCAGCCAUCAACACAUUUGUGAAGGAAUUUUUACUCCCCAAAAGAGCGCCCCCCCAUGGCAGGACAAAAAAGUCAAUUUUUUCUUGUCCCCUAAGGUGAAAAUACACAUUGUUGAAUGUCACGCCUGUACGCUUUGUCAUAUUGACAAAAAAUUUGACAAUCACGUGUAUCUCAAUAAGAUCUACGAAAAAGUCAAUGCAGGCGUAUCUGUCAAAUGUACGGUUAAAGGGCUAUUUCGCAUUUUUUGCCGAUUCGCACACAUUGGAAUGUGGCUAACUCCUCCUAAGGCUUUCGUCCCACUGACACCAAAUUUGCUCAGGCCAAUCUACACCCCAUGGCCAUUCAAAGUUGUAAAAAUCAUGACGCUGCACCCUAUGGUCUACGUUCUAGGGGGCGCCAAAGAGGACCCAAAUAUCCACAUUUUUAAAGUCUUAUAACUUUUUAUUUUUGUCCUCACUGGCCUCCAAGUUUUCUAGGAUGAUGCAAUGUCCAGCCAUCAACACAUUUGUGAAGGAAUUUUUUCUCCCCAAAAGAGCGCCCCCCCAUGGCAGGAGAAAAAGUCAAGUUUUUCCUGCCCAUCGCUCAAUGGCUCAAACGCAUCGCUCUCUCGGCAAAACCGAAAGGAGGAGCAACUUGCCAUUUGGAUAUAUACUAGCUGUGUUUGUGCCCUCACUCAUGGUCCAGACUUUUUUCAAAAAGGACAUGGAGUUUGUCUGCAGCGAGCGUUUUGGUAGAAACUGCGCCUCCCAUUCAUUAUAAUGGUAAAUGACCACAGACAAGUGCGCACACCAUCUUUGGACCUUGAGUGUGACGCGAUCGGGAGGGGGAGGCGGUCGCGCUGGGGGCGGCGUGACACGGCUCGGGCCCGCCAGUGCCCCACCGGGGCCCUAGUCUUCUUAUUAUUUUUCUGCCCCUUUGAACUGGAAAAUGGCCCACUUCCCACUGGUGAAAAGUCAUGAAAUUUGGCAGGACGACCGGGCCUGGUGAAAAAUUCGAUAUUCUGAAGUCGCCCAAAAAAUCAAAUGCAAAAUGGCUCCAUAGCGCCCCCUAAGGUGAAAAAUUCACAUGAUUGAGUGUCACGCCUGUACGCUUUGUCAAAAUGACACAAAAUUUGACACACACGUGUAUCUCAAUAAGAUCUACAAAAAAGUCAGUGCGGGCGUAUCUGUCAAAUGUACGGUUAAAGGGCUAUUUCGCAUUUUUUGCCGAUCCGCACACAUUGGAAUUUCGCUAACUCCUCCGAAGGCUUUCGUUCCACCGGCACCAAAUUUGCUCAGGCCAAUCUACACCCCAUGGCCAUUAAAAGUUGUACAAAUCAUGACGCUGCAUCCCACGGUUUACGUUCUAGGGGGCGCCAAAGAUAACCCAGAAAUCCACAUUCUUAAAAGUCGUAUAACUUUUUAUUUUUGUCCUCACUGGCCUCCAAGUUUUCUAGGAUGAUGCAAUGUCUAGCCAUCAACACAUUUGUGAAGGAAUUUUUACUCCCCAAAAGAGCGCCCCCCCAUGGCAGGAGAAAAAAGUCCAGUUUUUCUUCCCCCUAAGGUGAAAAUUCACAUUAUUGAGUGUCACGCCUGUACGCUUUGUCAUAUUGUAACAAACUUUGACAAUCACGUGUUUCUCAAUAAGAUCUACGAAAUAGUCAAUGGGCGCGUAUCUGUAAAAUGUACGGUUAAAGGGCUAUUUCGCAUUUUUGGUCGAUUCGCACACAUUGGAAUGUGGCUAACUCCUCCUAAAUAUUUCGUUCCACUGACACCAAAUUUACUCAGGCCAAUCUACAUUCCAUGGCCAUUCAAAGUUGUAAAAAUCAUGACGCUGCACCCCACGGUUUAUGUUCUAGGGGGCGCCAAAGAUAACCCAAAAAUCCACAUUCUUAAAAGUCUUAUAACUUUUUAUUUUUGUCCUCACUGGCCUCCAAGUUUUCUAGGAUGAUGCAAUGUCUAGCCAUCAACACAUUUGUGAAGGAAUUUUUACUCCCUAAAAGAGCGCCCCCCCAUGGCAGGAGAAAAAGUCAAGUUUUUCCUGCCCAUCGCUCAAUGACUCAAACACAUCGCUCUCUCGGCAAAACCGAAAGGAGGAGCAACUUGCCAUUUGGAUAUAUCCUAGCUGUGUUUGUGCCCUCACUCAUGGUCCAGUCCUUUUCAAAUAGGACAUGGAGUUUGUCUGCGGCGAGCGUUUUGGUAGAAACUGCGCCUCCCAUUCAUUAUAAUUGUAAAUGACCACAGACAAGUGCGCACACCAUCUUUGGACCUUGAGUGUGACGCGAUCGGUAGGGAGAGGCGGUCGUGUUGGGGGCGGCGCGACACGGCUCGGGCCCGCCAGUGCCCCAACGGGGCCCUAGUUAUUAUUUUUCUGCCCCUUUGAACUGGAAAAUGGCCCACUUCCCACUGGUGAAAACUCAUGAAAUUUGGCAGGACGACCGGGCCUGGUGAAAAAUUCGAUAUUCUGAAGUCGCCCAAACAAUCAAAUUCAAAAUGGCUCCAUAGCGCCCCCUAAGGUGAAAAAUUCACAUGAUUGAGUGUCACACCUGUACGCUUUGUCAAAAUGACACAAAAUUUGACACACACGUGUAUCUCAAUAAGAUCUACAAAAAAGUCAGUGCGGGCGUAUCUGUCAAAUGUACGGUUAAAGGGCUAUUUCGCAUUUUUUGCCGAUCCGCACACAGUGGAAUUUCGCUAACUCCUCCGAAGGCUUUCGUUCCACCGGCACCACAUUUGCUCAGGCCAAUCUACACCCCAUGGCCAUUCAAAGUUGUACAAAUCAUGACGCUGCACCCCACGGUUUACGUUCUAGGGGGCGCCAAAGAUAACCCAAAAAUCCACAUUCUUAAAAGUCUAAUAACUUUUUAUUUUUGCCCUCACUGGCCUCCAAGUUUUCUAGGAUGAUGCAAUGACCAGCCAUCAACACAUUUGUGAAGGAAUUUUUACUCCCCAAAAGAGCGCCCCCCCAUGGCAGGAGAAAAAAGUCCAUUUUUUCUUGUCCCCUAAGGUGAAAAUACAUAUUGUUGAGUGUCACGCCUAUACGCUUUGUCAUAUUGACAUAAAAUUUGACACACACGUGUAUCUCAAUAAGAUCUACAAAAAAGUAUAUGCGCACGUAUCUGUCAAAUGUACGGUUAAAGGGCUAUUUUGCAUUUUUUGCGGAACCGCACACAUUGGAAUUUCGCUAACUCCUCCGAAGGCUUUCGUUCCACCGGCACCACAUUUGCUCAGGCCAAUCUACACCCCAUGGCCAUUAAAAGUUGUACAAAUCAUGACGCUGCACCCCACGGUUUACGUUCUAGGGGGCGCCAAAAAUAACCCAAAAAUCCACAGUCUUAAAAGUCUUAUAACUUUUUAUUUUUGUCCUCACUGGCCUCCAAGUUUUCUAGGAUGAUGCAAUGUCCAGCCAUCAACACAUUUGUGAAGGAAUUUUUACUCCCCAAAAGAGCGCCCCCCAUGGCAGGAGAAAAAAGUCCAUUUUUUCUUGUCCCAUAAGGUGAAAAUACACAUUGUUGAGUGUCACGCCUGUACGCUUUGUCAUAUUGAAACAAAAUUUGACAAUCACGUGUAUCUCAAUAAGAUCUACGAAAAAGUCAAUGCGCACGUAUCUGUAAAAUGUACGGUUAAAGGGCUAUUACGCAUUUUUGAUCGAUUCGCACACAUUGGAAUGUGGCUAACCCCUCCUAAAGCUUUCGUUCCACCGGCACCACAUUUGCUCAGGCCAAUCUACACCCCAUGGCCAUUAAAAGUUGUACAAAUCAUGACGCUGCACCCCACGGUUUACGUUCUAGGGGGCGCCAAAGAUAACCCAAAUAUCCACAUUCUUAAAAGUCUUAUAACUUUUCAUUUUUGUCCUCACUGGCUUCCAAGUUUUCUAGGAUGAUGCAAUGUCUAGCCAUCAACACAUUUGUGAAGGAAUUUUUACUCCCCAAAAGAGCGCCCCCCCCAUGGCAGGAGAAAAAGUCAAGUUUUUCCUGCCCAUCGCUCAAUGGCUCAAACACAUGUCAUGUGUUCAAACUCCUCCGAAAGGAGGAGCAACUUGCCAUUUGGAUAUAUCCUAGCUGUGUUUGUGCCCUCACUCAUGGAUCAGACUUUUUUCAAAUAGGACAUGUAGUUUGUCUGCAGCGAGUGUUUUGGUAGAAACUGCGCCUCCCAUUCAUUAUAAUGGGAAAUGACCACAGACAAGUGCGCACACCAUCUUUGGACCUUGAGUGUGACGCGAUCGGGAGGGGGAGGCGGUCGCGCUGGGGGCGGCGCAACGCGGCUCGGGCCCGACAGUGCCCCACCGGGGCCCUAGUCUUAUUAUUAUUAUUUUUCUGCCCCUUUGAACUGGAAAAUGGCCCACUUCCCACUGGUGAAAACUCAUGAAAUUUGGCAGGACGACCGGGCCUGGUGAAAAAUUCGAUAUUCUGAAGUCACCCAAACAAUCAAAUGCAAAAUGGCUCCAUAGCGCCCCCUAAGGUGAAAAAUUCACAUGAUUGAGUGUCACGCCUGUACGUUUUGUCAAAAUGACACAAAAUUUGACACACACGUGUAUCUCAAUCAGAUCUACAAAAAAGUCAGUGCGGGAGAAUCUGUCAAAUGUACGUUUAAAGGGCUAUUUCGCAUUUUUUGCCGAUCCGCACACAUUGGAAUUUCGCUAACUCCUCCGAAGGCUUUCGUUCCACCGGCACCAAAUUUGCUCAGGCCAAUCUACACCCCAUGGCCAUUCAAAGUUGUACAAAUCAUGACGCUGCACCCCACGGUUUACGUUGUAGGGGGCGCCAAAGAUAACCCAAAAAUCCACAUUCUUACAAGUCUUAUAACUUUUUAUUUCUGUCCUCACUGGCCUCCAAGUUUUCUAGGAUGAUGCAAUGUCCAGCCAUCAACACAUUUGUGAAGGAAUUUUUACUCCCCAAAAGAGCGCCCCCCCAUGGCAGGAGAAAAAAGGCCAUUUUUUCUUGUCCUAUAAGGUGAAAAUACACAUUGUUGAGUGUCACGCCUGUACGCUUUGUCAUAUUGAAACAAAAUUUGAUAAUCACGUGUAUCUCAAUAAGAUCUACGAAAAAGUCAAUGCGCACGUGUCUGCAAAAUGUACGGUUAAAGGGCUAUUUCGCAUUUUUGGUUGAUUCGCACACAUUGGAAUGUGGCUAACUCCUCCUAAAGCUUUCGUUCCACCGGCACCAAAUUUGCUCAGGCCAAUCUACACCCCAUGGCCAUUCAAAGUUGUACAAAUCAUGACGCUGCACCCCACGGUUUACGUUGUAGGGGGCGCCAAAGAUAACCCAAAAAUCCACAUUCUUACAAGUCUUAUAACUUUUUAUUUCUGUCCUCACUGGCCUCCAAGUUUUCUAGGAUGAUGCAAUGUCCAGCCAUCAACACAUUUGUGAAGGAAUUUUUACUCCCCAAAAGAGCGCCCCCCCAUGGCAGGAGAAAAAAGGCCAUUUUUUCUUGUCCUAUAAGGUGAAAAUACACAUUGUUGAGUGUCACGCCUGUACGCUUUGUCAUAUUGAAACAAAAUUUGAUAAUCACGUGUAUCUCAAUAAGAUCUACGAAAAAGUCAAUGCGCACGUGUCUGCAAAAUGUACGGUUAAAGGGCUAUUUCGCAUUUUUGGUUGAUUCGCACACAUUGGAAUGUGGCUAACUCCUCCUAAAGCUUUCGUUCCACCGGCACCAAAUUUGCUCAGGCCAAUCUACACCCCAUGGCCAUUCAAAGUUGUACAAAUCAUGACGCUGCACCCCACGGUUUACGUUGUAGGGGGCGCCAAAGAUAACCCAAAAAUCCACAUUCUUACAAGUCUUAUAACUUUUUAUUUCUGUCCUCACUGGCCUCCAAGUUUUCUAGGAUGAUGCAAUGUCCAGCCAUCAACACAUUUGUGAAGGAAUUUUUACUCCCCAAAAGAGCGCCCCCCCAUGGCAGGAGAAAAAAGGCCAUUUUUUCUUGUCCUAUAAGGUGAAAAUACACAUUGUUGAGUGUCACGCCUGUACGCUUUGUCAUAUUGAAACAAAAUUUGAUAAACACGUGUAUCUCAAUAAGAUCUACGAAAAAGUCAAUGCGCACGUGUCUGCAAAAUGUACGGUUAAAGGGCUAUUUCGCAUUUUUGGUUGAUUCGCUCACAUUGGAAUGUGGCUAACUCCUCCUAAAGCUUUCGUUCCACCGGCACCAAAUUUGCUCAGGCCAAUCUACACCCCAUGGCCAUUCAAAGUUGUACAAAUCAUGAUGCUGCACCCCACGGUUUACGUUCUAGGGGUCGCCAAAGAUAACCCAAAAAUCCACAUUCUUAAAAGUCUUAUAACUUUUCAUUUUUGUCCUCACUGGCUUCAAAGUUUUCUAGGAUGAUGCAAUGUCUAGCCAUCAACACAUUUGUGAAGGAAUUUUUCUCCCUAAAAGAGUGCCCCCCCAUGGCAGGAGAAAAAGUCAAGUUUUUCCUGCCCAUCGCUCAAUGGCUCAAACACAUCGCUCUCUCGGAAAAAAACGAAAGGAGGAGGAACUUGCCAUUUGGAUAUAUCCUAGCUGUGUUUGUGCCCUCACUCAUGGUCCAGACUUUUUUCAAAUAGGACAUGUAGUUUGUCUGCAGCAAGCGUUUUGGUAGAAACUGCGCCUCCCAUUCAUUAUAAUGGUAAAUGACCACAGACAAGUGCGCACACCAUCGUUGAACCUUGAGUGUGACGCGAUCGGGAGGGAGAGGCGGUCGUGUUGGGGGCGGCGUGACACAGCUCGGGCCCGCCAGUGCCCCAACGGGGCCCUAGUUAUUUUUCCUCCCCUUUGAACUGGAAAAUGGCCCACUUCCCACCCGCGAAAACUCAUGAAAUUUGGCAGGACGACCGGGCCUGGUGAAAAAUUUGAUAUUCCGAAGUCGCCCAAACAAGAAAAUGCAAAAUGGCUCCAUAGCGCCCCCUAAGGUGAAAAUUCACACUAUUGACUGUCACGCCUGUACGCUUUGUCAAAAUGACACAAAAAUUGACACACACAUGUAUCUCAGUAAGAUCUACAAAAAAGUCAGUGCGGGCGUAUCUGUCAAAUGUACGGUUAAAGGGUUAUUUCGCAUUUUUUGCCGAUCCGCACACAUUGGAAUUUCGCUAACUCCUCCGAAGGCUUUCGUUCCACCAGCACCACAUUUGCUCAGGCCAAUCUACACCCCAUGGCCAUUAAAAGUUAUUCAAAUCAUGACGCUGCACCCCAAGGUUUAGGUUCUAGGGGGCGCCAAAGAUAACCCUAAGAUCCACAUAUUUAAAAGUCUUAUAACUUUUUAUUUUUGCCCUCACUGGCCUCCAAGUUUUCUAGGAUGAUGCAAUGUCCAGCCAUCAACACAUUUGUGAAGGAAUUUUUACUCCCCAAAAGAGCGCCCCCCCAUGGCAGGAGAAAAAAGUCCAUUUUUUCUUGUCCCCUAAGGUGAAAAUACACAUUGUUGAGUGUAACACCUGUACGCUUUGGCAAAAUGACACAAAAAUUGACACACACAUGUAUCUCAAUAAGAUCUACGAAAAAGUCAAUGCGCGCGUAUCUGUCAAAUGUACGGUUAAAGGGUUAUUCCGCAUUUUUUGCCGAUCCGCACACAUUGGAAUUUCGCUAACUCCUCCGAAGGCUUUCGUUCCACCGGCACCACAUUUGCUCAGGCCAAUCUACACCCCAUGGCCAUUAAAAGUUAUUCAAAUCAUGACGCUGCAUCCCACGGUUUAGGUUCUAGGGGGCGCCAAAGAUAACCCUAAAAUCCACAUAUUUAAAAGUCUUAUAACUUUUUAUUUUUGUCCUCACUGGCCUCCAAGUUUUCUAGGAUGAUGCAAUGUCCAGCCAUCAACACAUUUGUGAAGGAAUUUUUACUCCCCAAAAGAGCGCCCCCCCAUGGCAGGAGAAAAAAGUCAAUUUUUUCUUGUCCCCUAAGGUGGAAAUUCACACUAUUGACUGUCACGCCUGUACGCUUUAUCAUAUUGACACAAAAAUUGACACACAUAUGUAUCUCAAUAAGAUCUACAAAAAAGUCAAUGCGCGUGUAUCUGUCAAAUGUACGGUUAAAGGGCUAUUUUGCAUUUUUUGCCGAUUCGCACACAUUGGAAUGUGGCUAACUCCUCCUAAGGCUUUCGUCCCACUGACACCAAAUUUGCUCAGGCCAAUCUACACCCCAUGGCCAUUCAAAGUUGUAAAAAUCAUGACGAUGCACCCCACGGUUUACGUUCUAGGGGGCGCCAAAAAUGACCCAAAAAUCCACAUUCUUAAAAGAAUCCACAUCCCCCCCCCUAUGGCAGGAGAAAAAGUCAAGUUUUUCCUGCCCAUCGCUCAAUGGCUCAAUCGCAUCGCUCUCCAGGCAACACCGUAAGGAGGAGCAACCUGGCAUUUCGAUAUAUCAUAGCUGUGUUUGUGCCCUCACUCAUGGUCCAGACUUUUUUCAAAUAGGACAUGAAGUUUGUCUGCAGCGAGUGUUUUGGUAGAAACUGCGCCUCCCAUUCAUUAUAAUGGGAAAUGACCACAGACAAGUGCGCACACCAUCUUUGGUUCUUGAGUGUGACUCGAUCGGGACGGGGAGGCGGUCGCACUGGGGGCGGCGCGACGCGGCUCGGGCCCGACAGUGCCCCACCGGGGCCCUAGUUAGGGCCCGAGCCAGCUGCAGAGCAGCCGGGCGUAGGCCCCAUUAUUCCCCAAGUGGUUUUUCUUUGUUUCUUUCUUUAGGGCCCGAGCGUAGCUGCUAAGCAGCUGCGAGAGCCCUCUUGUUCCUGCAUGUUUCCUUCUUUCGUUAUUAUUUUUCCUCCGCUUUAAACUGGAAAAUGGCCCACUUCCCACUGGCGAAAACUCAGGAAAUUUGGCAGGACGACCGGGCCUGGUGAAAAAUUCGAUAUUCUGAAGUCGCCCAAACAAUAAAAUGCAAAAUGGCUCCAUAGCGCCCCCCAAGGUGAAAAUUCACAUGACGGCUGUACGCUUUGUCAUAUUGACACAAAAAUUGACACACACGUGUAUCUCAAUAAGAUCUACAAAAAAGUCAGUGCGGGCGUAUCUGUCAAAUGUACGGUUAAAGGGUUCUUCCGCAUUUUUUGCCGAUCCACACACAUUGGAAUUUCGCUAACUCCUCCGAAGGCUUUCGUUCCACUGGCACCACAUUUGCUCAGGCCAAUCUACCCCCCAUGGCCAUUAAAAGUUGUACAAAUCAUGACGCUGCACCCCACGGUUUACGUUCUAGGGGGCGCCAAAGAUAACCCAAAAAUCCACAUUCUUAAAAGUCUUAUAACUUUUUACUUUUGUCCUCACUGGCCUCCAAGUUUUCUAGGAUGAUGCAAUGUCCAGCCAUCAACACAUUUGUGAAGGAAUUUUUACUCCACAAAAGAGCGCCCCCCAAUGGCAGGAGAAAAAGGUCAAUUUUUUCUUGUCUCCUAAGGUGAAAAUACAUAUUGUCGAGUGUCACGCCUGUAUGCUUUGUCAUAUUGACACAAAAUUUGACAAUCACGUGUAUCUCAAUAAGAUCUACGAAAAAGUCAAAGGGCAUGUAUCUGUCAAAUGUACGGUUAAAGGGCUAUUUUGCAUUUUUUGCCGAUCCGCACACAUUGGAAUUUCGCUAACUCCUCCGAAGGCUAUCUUUCCACCGGCACCAAAUUUGCUCAGGCCAAUCUACACCCCAUGGCCAUUAAAAGUUGUACAAAUCAUCUUGCUGCACCCCACGGUUUGGGUUCUAGGGGGCACCAAAUAUAACCCAAAAAUCCACAUUCUUAAAAGUCUUAUAACUUUUUAUCUUUUUCCAUACUGGCCUCCAAGUUUUUUAGGAUGAUGCAAUGUCCAGCCAUCAACACAUUUGUGAAGAAAUUUUUACUCCCCAAAAGAGCGCCCCCCCCAUGGCAGGAGAAAAAAGUCCAUUUUUUCUUGUCCCGAAAGGUGAAAAUACACGUUGUUGAGUGUCACGCCUUUACGCUUUGUCAUAUUGACAAAAAAAUUGACAAUCACGUGUAUCUCAAUAAGAUCUAUGAAAAAGUCAAUGGGCACGUAAGUGUAAAAUGUACAGUUAAAGGGCUAUUUUGCAUUUUUUGGCGAUUCGCACACAUUGGAAUUUCGCUAACUCCUCCGAAGGCUUUCGUCCCACUGACACCAAAUUUGCUCAGGCCAAUCUACACUCCAUGGCCAUUCAAAGUUGUAAAAAUCAUGACGCUGCACCCCACGGUUUA